CCUACGGGUGGCAGCAGUGAGGAAUAUUGGUCAAUGGCCGUAAGGCUGAACCAGCCAAGCCGCGUGAAGGAAGAAGGAUCUAUGGUUUGUAAACUUCUUUUAUAGGGGAAUAAAGGUAUCCACGUGUGGCUAUUUGCAUGUACCCUAUGAAUAAGCAUCGGCUAACUCCGUGCCAGCAGCCGCGGUAAUACGGAGGAUGCGAGCGUUAUCCGGAUUGAUUGGGUUUAAAGGGUGCGUAGGUUGUUUUUUAAGUCAGCGGUGAAAGUUAGUGGCUCAACCAUAGAAUUGCCGUUGAAACUGGAAGACUUGAGUGUGUUUGAGGUAGGCGGAAUGCGUGGUGUAGCGGUGAAAUGCAUAGAUAUCACGCAGAACUCCGAUUGCGAAGGCAGCUUACUAAGCCAUAACUGACACUGAAGCACGAAAGCGUGGGGAUCAAACAGGAUUAGAUACCCUUGUAGUC
RNAcentral lists this ribosomal RNA (460 nucleotides) under uncultured bacterium. Its description in RNAcentral is "partial 16S ribosomal RNA". It matches the Rfam family "Bacterial small subunit ribosomal RNA", at positions 338 to 795 of the family's 1533-position model. The record is from RNAcentral.